RNAcentral lists this long non-coding RNA (642 nucleotides) under Homo sapiens (human). Its description in RNAcentral is "HSALNT0282639". The record is from RNAcentral. Lineage: Eukaryota; Metazoa; Chordata; Mammalia; Primates; Hominidae.
ACAUGGGGUUUUCUCUUUCCGUUUGGAGCCCCCCUCCCUCUGUCUCUGUAUGGUGGAGCUUCUUCCUUCUUUCCUGCCUAUUAAACUCUCUACUCUUUAAAACCACUCCACGUGUGUCCAUUUAUCUACAUCAGCGUGAGACCAAGGACCCUGGCGUUCCUACAUUCAUUGAGGUAGUAUCAUUUUGGUGUAUUGGGCAAGAAUUCAUUUAUCGGAGUGGCACCUGGAGACAUUGAGUACUGCCAAUGGACUGCUGAACCAAACGAAGAGCUUUUCUGCAACAUUCAUGUUGCAGAGGAGAUGGGAACUGCCACUCAGCUGCUGCCACUCAGCUACUAAAUCUGAAAUAGUUAUUCAGCAAUACAAAAAUGGUAUUGCGGGGUUCUGGGGCAGCCCCUUUGGCUCAAAUGCCAGAGCUUUCUGCUAUACCUACUGAGUUUCAGUAGAUUUUAUUGAAUAAAAGUUUCUCAAUUCAUUACAAGCCCUUCGAUCAAUCUCCAAAGACUUUGUCUAGUUUCAAAUAUGUUUUUCUAGGGGAAAGGAUUUGCCAAGCUCCUCACACUACCAUUCCAGAAGUCCUAACCCUGAACUAUGUUUGCAACUUCUUGUGAAUCCUAAAUUAUUUUAAAAUAAAGAGUAUAA